AGGUUCCAAUACUGAGAAAUACCAAGUACAGAUUUUAAAGAGUUACUUCAUUGGGAAUGGAGGUGGGAUAAAGCAAAGCCAUGGGCAGAGAGGUGUGACAGGCAUUUGUGAAGUUAGAGCAAGGGCAUGACAAAGUUUGCCCAGUGAAAAGGAGCAAAUAUGGAGGACUUAUGCAUGAGGCUGAAAUUUCUGAUAUAGAGGAGAGAGGCUGGUUUGGAGCAGAGGACUGGAGUGGAUAACCAAGUUGCUCAGAAUACCCCCAGAGCUGCCAGCAGCA
Molecule: long non-coding RNA, 277 nt
Filed under: Anas platyrhynchos platyrhynchos (common mallard)
Lineage: Eukaryota; Metazoa; Chordata; Aves; Anseriformes; Anatidae
Description: lncRNA (ENSAPLG00000019181.1)
Source: RNAcentral